AACACAAAUAGAUUUCCCACAAAUGAAAUUGAAGUGGGGAUACAUAUAGAAUGACAGAAUGGAUGAUAUCAUUCAAAGUUUGGACAAACCUCCUUAUCAUUAUGAUAUUUGAUGAUGUUAUGUGAACAUUACAUUGUUACGCUUAGCACGAUGAAGGACCUAAUUUCAUUUUUCCUUUUCCCCGUAGCUGCCAAUUGCUUUGCGUCCAUUGCAGCCAUUUCAAACAACAACUUACACUAGUGCUUUUCUAUGUUGUCGUCGGCACAAGGAGAGAGCCUCCAUUAUGCUGCAUGACCAUCGCCACCACCAGCAACUGAUUUGUGCCAGAAAUGGCCAUUAGAAGGUCACCCCCUAGUCUGCUACAACUGCAACCAACAUGAAAUAGGCUUUGCUACAACUUUAUUGCUUCUUUUUGUGGUCACCACAUGCGACUAGCAGUGGCCAUGAGCACCCCCACGCUUACGCUGCAUCAAGAAACGUAGCCCGAUUAUAAUGCUUCUACCAUGGUUGCUAUGGAUGUGAGCAUCUACCUAUGUCGAUUGAGAGAGGUUGUGAGGAGGCUAGGGUUUCAGGGGGUUUUAUGAGAGAAGAGUUUGGUGAGACAAUAGGUGGAAGCCUCAACACUUAGAAAUAAAAAAUCGAGGGUUUCUUUUU
Molecule: long non-coding RNA, 654 nt
Filed under: Citrus x clementina
Lineage: Eukaryota; Viridiplantae; Streptophyta; Magnoliopsida; Sapindales; Rutaceae
Description: Citrus clementina (C. clementina) long non-coding RNA (CCLE_LNC004098)
Source: RNAcentral